RNAcentral lists this ribosomal RNA (274 nucleotides) under uncultured bacterium. RNAcentral describes it as "partial 16S ribosomal RNA". It matches the Rfam family "Bacterial small subunit ribosomal RNA", at positions 523 to 796 of the family's 1533-position model. The record is from RNAcentral.
AGACGUAGGUCCCGAACGUUGCGCGAAAUUACUGGACGUAAAGGGUCCGUAGGCGGUCUGGUAAGUGGAAGGUGAAAGCCUGGGGCUCAACUCCAGAAUUGCCUUCCAAACUGCCGGACUUGAGGCAGGGAGAGGUCGGCGGAAUUCCCGGUGUAGUGGUGAAAUGCGUAGAGAUCGGGAGGAACACCAGUGGCGAAGGCGGCCGACUGGAACUGUCCUGACGCUGAGGGACGAAAGCCAGGGGAGCGAACCGGAUUAGAAACCCGAGUAGUCC